Molecule: unclassified non-coding RNA, 287 nt
Filed under: uncultured fungus
Lineage: Eukaryota; Fungi
Description: partial contains 5.8S ribosomal RNA, internal transcribed spacer 2, and large subunit ribosomal RNA
Source: RNAcentral
AACGCACAUUGCGCCCCUUGGCAUUCCGAGGGGCAUGCCUGUUCGAGCGUCAUUUCACCAAUCAAGCCCCGCUUGGUAUUGGGCGAUCAGGCCCGCGCCCACCCGGCGCGGGCCCGCCCCGAAGACAUCGGCGAGGACGUGGACCCCCGGCGUGUUAGAACUCCCUCACGGGAUACGCCAGGUGCACCCUCGGACUCCGCCGCGAAACGACGGGGCUCCCCCCGGGGACCCCCCGAAACCCACACAAGGUUGACCUCGGAUCAGGUAGGAAUACCCGCUGAACUUAA